This 1019-nucleotide ribosomal RNA is filed under the name uncultured bacterium. RNAcentral describes it as "bacterial SSU rRNA". It matches the Rfam family "Bacterial small subunit ribosomal RNA", at positions 355 to 1375 of the family's 1533-position model. The record is from RNAcentral.
UGAGGAAUAUUGGUCAAUGGUCGGCAGACUGAACCAGCCAAGUCGCGUGAGGGAAGACGGCCCUACGGGUUGUAAACCUCUUUUGUCGGAGAGUAAAGUACGCUACGCGUAGCGUAUUGCAAGUAUCCGAAGAAAAAGCAUCGGCUAACUCCGUGCCAGCAGCCGCGGUAAUACGGAGGAUGCGAGCGUUAUCCGGAUUUAUUGGGUUUAAAGGGUGCGUAGGCGGCACGCCAAGUCAGCGGUGAAAUUUCCGGGCUCAACCCGGACUGUGCCGUUGAAACUGGCGAGCUAGAGUGCACAAGAGGCAGGCGGAAUGCGUGGUGUAGCGGUGAAAUGCAUAGAUAUCACGCAGAACCCCGAUUGCGAAGGCAGCCUGCUAGGGUGCGACAGACGCUGAGGCACGAAAGCGUGGGUAUCGAACAGGAUUAGAUACCCUGGUAGUCCACGCAGUAAACGAUGAAUACUAACUGUUUGCGAUACAAUGUAAGCGGUACAGCGAAAGCGUUAAGUAUUCCACCUGGGGAGUACGCCGGCAACGGUGAAACUCAAAGGAAUUGACGGGGGCCCGCACAAGCGGAGGAACAUGUGGUUUAAUUCGAUGAUACGCGAGGAACCUUACCCGGGCUCAAACGCAGGGGGAAUAUAUAUGAAAGUAUAUAGCUAGCAAUAGUCACCUGCGAGGUGCUGCAUGGUUGUCGUCAGCUCGUGCCGUGAGGUGUCGGCUUAAGUGCCAUAACGAGCGCAACCCCUAUGGACAGUUACUAACGGGUAAAGCCGAGGACUCUGUCUAGACUGCCGGCGCAAGCCGCGAGGAAGGUGGGGAUGACGUCAAAUCAGCACGGCCCUUACGUCCGGGGCGACACACGUGUUACAAUGGCAGGUACAGAAGGCAGCCAGUCAGCAAUGACGCGCGAAUCCCGAAAACCUGUCUCAGUUCGGAUUGGAGUCUGCAACCCGACUCCAUGAAGCUGGAUUCGCUAGUAAUCGCGCAUCAGCCAUGGCGCGGUGAAUACGUUCCC